This 652-nucleotide ribosomal RNA is filed under the name Mycobacterium tuberculosis variant caprae. Its description in RNAcentral is "bacterial SSU rRNA". It matches the Rfam family "Bacterial small subunit ribosomal RNA", at positions 55 to 708 of the family's 1533-position model. Lineage: Bacteria; Bacillati; Actinomycetota; Actinomycetes; Mycobacteriales; Mycobacteriaceae. The record is from RNAcentral.
AUGCAAGUCGAACGGAAAGGUCUCUUCGGAGAUACUCGAGUGGCGAACGGGUGAGUAACACGUGGGUGAUCUGCCCUGCACUUCGGGAUAAGCCUGGGAAACUGGGUCUAAUACCGGAUAGGACCACGGGAUGCAUGUCUUGUGGUGGAAAGCGCUUUAGCGGUGUGGGAUGAGCCCGCGGCCUAUCAGCUUGUUGGUGGGGUGACGGCCUACCAAGGCGACGACGGGUAGCCGGCCUGAGAGGGUGUCCGGCCACACUGGGACUGAGAUACGGCCCAGACUCCUACGGGAGGCAGCAGUGGGGAAUAUUGCACAAUGGGCGCAAGCCUGAUGCAGCGACGCCGCGUGGGGGAUGACGGCCUUCGGGUUGUAAACCUCUUUCACCAUCGACGAAGGUCCGGGUUCUCUCGGAUUGACGGUAGGUGGAGAAGAAGCACCGGCCAACUACGUGCCAGCAGCCGCGGUAAUACGUAGGGUGCGAGCGUUGUCCGGAAUUACUGGGCGUAAAGAGCUCGUAGGUGGUUUGUCGCGUUGUUCGUGAAAUCUCACGGCUUAACUGUGAGCGUGCGGGCGAUACGGGCAGACUAGAGUACUGCAGGGGAGACUGGAAUUCCUGGUGUAGCGGUGGAAUGCGCAGAUAUCAGGAGGAACA